CACCUUUGGACCUGGAUAAAGCUUAGAGAAUCCAUUGUAUACCUACGUGCCCAUAUGAUUUUGCAUAUGGAAAUAAACAAGCAAGAAAAUAACAAGAUCUAGAAGAAUGAUCCAUAUAAGCGUAUUACCAGAUCCAAUCUCUGCUACAUGUAGCUUCAAUCAUUUUACUUGUAUAUGGUUGUGCUUGAUCUGUUCCAUGGCUGAAAGGUGGGGUGAGCAAGAGAAGAAGAGUUCAAGGGCCUGGAGUCCAUGGUUGUUUGUAGUUUUGACCCUUUCCACUUACAUAUGCCAUAUGUUUCUGUAAAUGAUUUCAACUGUUUUCAUAGCUGAACAUCUGUUUUCACCUAUUCCUUCUUCUUUUUUUUAAAGGUCUGCACAUGUUCUCUGCAUCUAAUAUUCUGAUUGAAAAUUUUAGAGAGCUACACGUUGAAAGCCUAAGAAAGCUGAAAGCUAGCUUCCAACUGCUAUGUUCGGUAAACACAACUUUUGGAUAUGCUUGUCAAAGGUUGAGAUUUUAAUGCCAGUUUUGACCCUUCAAC
Molecule: long non-coding RNA, 539 nt
Filed under: Manihot esculenta (cassava)
Lineage: Eukaryota; Viridiplantae; Streptophyta; Magnoliopsida; Malpighiales; Euphorbiaceae
Description: long non-coding RNA (MESC_LNC008206)
Source: RNAcentral